GACGAACGCUGGCGGCGUGCCUAAUACAUGCAAGUUGAGCGCUGAAGGUUGGUACUUGUACCAACUGGAUGAGCAGCGAACGGGUGAGUAACGCGUGGGGAAUCUGCCUUUGAGCGGGGGACAACAUUUGGAAACGAAUGCUAAUACCGCAUAAAAACUUUAAACACAAGUUUUAAGUUUGAAAGAUGCAAUUGCAUCACUCAAAGAUGAUCCCGCGUUGUAUUAGCUAGUUGGUGAGGUAAAGGCUCACCAAGGCGAUGAUACAUAGCCGACCUGAGAGGGUGAUCGGCCACAUUGGGACUGAGACACGGCCCAAACUCCUACGGGAGGCAGCAGUAGGGAAUCUUCGGCAAAGGACGAAAGUCUGACCGAGCAACGCCGCGUGAGUGAAGAAGGUUUUCGGAUCGUAAAACUCUGUUGGUAGAGAAGAACGUUGGUGAGAGUGGAAAGCUCAUCAAGUGACGGUAACUAACCAGAAAGGGACGGCUAACUACGU
RNAcentral lists this ribosomal RNA (496 nucleotides) under uncultured bacterium. RNAcentral describes it as "partial 16S ribosomal RNA". It matches the Rfam family "Bacterial small subunit ribosomal RNA", at positions 28 to 506 of the family's 1533-position model. The record is from RNAcentral.